Molecule: ribosomal RNA, 561 nt
Filed under: Botryotrichum spirotrichum
Lineage: Eukaryota; Fungi; Ascomycota; Sordariomycetes; Sordariales; Chaetomiaceae
Description: eukaryotic LSU rRNA
Rfam family: Eukaryotic large subunit ribosomal RNA
Source: RNAcentral
GCAUAUCAAUAAGCGGAGGAAAAGAAACCAACAGGGAUUGCCCCAGUAACGGCGAGUGAAGCGGCAACAGCUCAAAUUUGAAAUCUGGCUUCGGCCCGAGUUGUAAUUUGCAGAGGAAGCUUUAGGCGCGGCACCAUCUGAGUCCCCUGGAACGGGGCGCCAAAGAGGGUGAGAGCCCCGUAGAGAUGGACGCCUAGCCUGUGUAAAGCUCCUUCGACGAGUCGAGUAGUUUGGGAAUGCUGCUCAAAAUGGGAGGUAAAUUUCUUCUAAAGCUAAAUACCGGCCAGAGACCGAUAGCGCACAAGUAGAGUGAUCGAAAGAUGAAAAGCACUUUGAAAAGAGGGUUAAAUAGCACGUGAAAUUGUUGAAAGGGAAGCGCUUGUGACCAGACUUGCGCCGGGCAGAUCAUCCGGUGUUCUCACCGGUGCACUCUGCCCGGCUCAGGCCAGCAUCGGUUCUCGCGGGGGGAUAAAGGCGCCGGGAACGUAGCUCCUCCGGGAGUGUUAUAGCCCGGCGUGUAAUGCCCUCGCGGGGACCGAGGACCGCGCAUCUGCAAGGAUG